GCCUCGAUGUGCAGGCGGACCCGCUCGCCGCCCUCGGCGGGGGCGGCGAUCCGUACCCACUGGUUGCGCGGGUUCAGGCCCUUCACCGGGGUGCC
This 95-nucleotide transfer RNA is filed under the name Streptomyces fumanus. RNAcentral describes it as "tRNA-Ala". Lineage: Bacteria; Bacillati; Actinomycetota; Actinomycetes; Kitasatosporales; Streptomycetaceae. The record is from RNAcentral.